GAGGUGAUGAUGGAGAUCCUCAUAGAAGGACCCGGGGCUCAUGGAAGGCAGGAGGUGAUGAUGGAGAUCCUCAUAGAAGGACCCAGGGCUCAUGGAAGGCAGGAGGUGAUGAUGGAGAACCAACACGGCCUCACCAAGGGCAAAUCCUCAUUGACUGACCUCAUAGACUUCUAUGAUGGCACUGAUACAUCAGUAGACGAAGGAAGAGCUGCUGAUAUCAUCUACUUAGACUUCAACAAGGCCUCUGAUGCAGGACCCCACAGUAUCCUCAUGUCCAAGUGAUGAAGACACCAAGUGGACGGGAAGAUGAUGAGAUGGAUGAAGAACUGGCUGUAGAACCGAGUCCAGAGAGCAGCAGCCAAUGGCUCCGUGUCCAGAUGGAGAUGAUGAUGAACAGCAUCCCAUAGCAUCCAACAUUGGGGCUGAUACUCUGCAAUAUAUGAGCAUAGAAUCAAAUGAUGAUCAGCACUGAGAACAAGAAUGACCAUCUCCAUUCAACCCUCCUGCUAUGGGGACAGUACCCAACCACCACACCAGGGUCCCACAGCCUCAAACACCUCUAGGGAUGGAGCAUCCCAAAGUGACCCAUUCCACCCCCAAACCCUGCAAUAAAGAAGGGAUCGCUCACACCAUUGUGAAGGCUGAGCCCUCCAUCCAAAGGAAGCAGGCUCUAGAUACGGCUCCUUCUCAUACCCAUCCAUAAGUGCUGUUAGGAGCAAUCAAAAGGAGAAGACAUCAGUCCAGUAAUAAAGAAGAAAUUCCUUACCCCAUUGCAAAGCCAAAGACUCACCAUUGACCCCAAAGGAAAGGAUCUCCAAGCAGAGUCGCAUCCCAUAUGGUAUCCAGAGCUCAAAAGCAGCAGGAAGGAGAAUCCACUACCCCCAAUGCUCCCAUAGGAGCACUGAGCUGGAACUGAUGCUGCCCCCUGCCCUUCCCAGCCCUUAAAUACCAAUCAAGGAGGGGAGGAGCCAGGCUCCAACCAAUCACAAUCCACCCCUCAACGGCCCCACAUGGGGUUGGCCCCUCCCCUCAGCAGGUGCCCAAUCAGGAUGUUACAUAACAGCUCCAAUCAGGAACAAAGCCAAAAAUUAAAGCAAUAACAGGUUAAUAAUUAUAUCUACCUGUUCUUAAAGGGGAGGGUUGUGGAUAGAGGAGAAACAACAGCACAGUAUAUGGACACGGGGGUGCAGAUCUCACUCUUGCAAUGGGGUGACACUGUGGGCACCGCUCUAGGGUAGAUGCUGGGGGGACAUUGGGAAGAUGGGGGGGUUAUGGGGGGGGACAUUGGAAUGAUGGGGGGUGAUGGGGGCGAUGAUAUCAUUAUAUAAUCAGGGUGAUAUAAUAGAAAUGCUUAGUCAUGGUUGGAAGCCAUGAUGGGGCGGGGACACAGCAGUACAGCCCAAGUGCAGGCAAUGCAUCCGAUUGGCUGAAGGGCUGGCUCCGCCCCCUCCUGGUGCUCAUAUAAGGUCUGGCACCGGGGGCCAGCACUUAUUUGCUGGAGCUCCUUGCUGCAGUCACAUCUACCCACAUGAAGAAGCUCUUCUGCUCUGUUGCUGCCUUGGACCAAGAGCUGCUGGAUGGAGCUCCAGGACUUGGCUUCUCCGCCAUCACAUUGCUCGGCCUAGAACAGCACUACAGGAGGUGAGUUCUGGCUCUGAUACUGGAAUAAUGCUGAGAUGAUGGGGGGCAGAGAUGGUUGGGGGGCAGAAAUGGUUUGGGGGGGAUGUUGAGGUGUCUGGGGGGGGACACGGAGCUGAUGUUUGACAAUGAAGCUGUAUGUAGAUGUGGAGGUAUCAAUGGAGUUACACAAGGAGCCAUGUUGGAAGGUGACAAUGAGUAGAUGAGGGACUGAAUAGUGAAAAAGGAGCCAUAGUAGAUGAAAAGAGAACACUUAGCUACAGAAAGGGAAAGGGGGCCUCACUAAGGCAAAGGGUA
Molecule: non-coding RNA, 1935 nt
Organism: Coturnix japonica (Japanese quail)
Lineage: Eukaryota; Metazoa; Chordata; Aves; Galliformes; Phasianidae
Source: RefSeq, a predicted model, not a curated record